This 450-nucleotide ribosomal RNA is filed under the name Triticum aestivum (bread wheat). RNAcentral describes it as "partial small subunit ribosomal RNA". Lineage: Eukaryota; Viridiplantae; Streptophyta; Magnoliopsida; Poales; Poaceae. The record is from RNAcentral.
AUGCCAAGUAAAGUGGGGCAAAUUGUCCAAUCUCCCGCGAUUCUCCUCUCCUCUCCUCUCCUCUCUCUCGAUUCUCCUCGCGCCGCCAUGCCGUUCUUCCUCUGCCUCCGGUCCAAGCAAAGACGAAGAGGAGACCCCAAGAUCCAGCCGCGCCUUCUUCUCACCCUCGAUCUGCUCCUCUUGGGCUCUUCGUUCGGAUGGAUGAAGCUCUCGUCGAUGGGCACGGCGACGGCGACGUUUAGAGGCGACGCUCAACUAUGCGUGGGAGAUGGCGUGGAAGAGCAGCUCGCGGAUGACGACUAUGAUGUUGCCUGGAUGUUUGACGAUGACGAGUCUCUCAAGCUCGUCGCCGGCCGUCGAAUCGUCUUCAAGCUAGCUUCACGCGCUGGUGAGUCCAAUCCAGCCCAGCCCCUCCCCCGUGAGAGUGCAGCUCUAUCGAGCCCGAGGUGA